CCUGAUGCUGCGCUCAGAGCCGCUGGAUGCUGCGGGCUGCCGGCCGGAGGCUGCUUCAGCACCGCGGUCAGCUCCUCACAUCCCGGCGGGGCGGAGCGGGGGAGGGUCUGAGAGAGCCGCUCGGUUGUAGUGGAAGCUUCCAUUUUGGAGCAAGGGGAGGCUGGUUAGUAUGGAGGGAAGUCUGCAGAGUUGGAUGCAGGAGGAGGUGAUGGAGAUGGGGGAGGUGAUGGAGGAGGGAGGAGGUGAUGGGGGGAGGGGAGGUCCAUUCAUGCUAACAUUUCCAUUUUGAUUGCUUUGAUGCUGUUUUUGGUUGGAGGGGGGAGGGGAGCAGCAGCCAUGUUUAAUCACAUCCUCAGUGUUCAGUCUGACCUUUACUGCAGUUAUACUCACUGAUACUACAGUUAUACUCACUGAUACUGCAGUUAUACUCACUGAUACUACAGUUAUACUCACUGAUACUGCAGUUAUACUCACUGAUACUACAGUUAUACUCACUAAUACUACAGUUAUACUCACUGAUACUGCAGUUAUACUCACUGAUACUACAGUUAUACUCACUAAUACUACAGUUAUACUCACUAAUACUACAGUUAUACUCAAUGAUAAUGCAGUUAUACUGACUGCUAUUUCAGAGAUUAAACUGUUUUUCAGAGUUAACUCCAGUAAAUAAUCAGAUUUCCUUUUCCUUCUGUCUGCUCUUUGUCCUCCCGUUCCUCGGUUUAUUUCUUCUUCUGUAUUCUGAGAGCUGAUGGAGUCAGCUGGACGGCGGCCGCUAACCGCUCCGUCCGUUGCUCACCUGGCCAGGGAGCCGUGGUGCAUGCUGGGAAACACCUGCGUCCCAUCAGCAGAAAGUGAAGCAGUGGAUUCAGAGACAUGAAGCCUCCUCAGAUCCCUGGGAUAAAGUCCUGUCUCUACACCUCCACCACUCCGUUAAACAUUAAGUCGAUUCUCACUGAUGGAGGAAAACAAUGAAUUCAUCAAAUAGAGGAGCAGGAAACCUCUGAGACAAAAAACUAGUUCAUUAUUUAGCUGUCAGAGUUGUUUUUCUUCUUCCUUCUGGAGCUGGACAGAUUCUCCAUGAACAGAAUGUCCUGACACCUGUAGAUACACCUGUAGGUUAGCUCUACCUGCUGAACACCUGUAGAGGAUUAAAAUGAUGGAUGUAGAUGUUGGUGAUUGGUUAAAAUACUUCCUGGUUAGCCGUUUAUUUAGCUGUAUACUAUUCCACUUUGAGGAUCGCUGUUUUGCUCCCUGUGAUGGCGUCUUUCUGUGUUUUUUAUUUCCUUAUGUUCUUGUUUUGGCUGUAAACUAGAUUUCUAAGCUGAACGAGGCUUUCAGGGUCAGAUCCAUGAAUAAGAGAUAAACAGAAGUGAAAUCGUCCUCAUUGAACACAACGAAGCUCCUAAACUCAGUAGCAACACAACCCUUUACCCACAAUCCCCCUGUACAGCAUCCUGACCCCUGAUUGGCUGAUUUAACGCCUCGUUAUGGAGAUCGGAACGGGCAAAAGCAUCAGAUUAUUUAUUACUUUCUCCAGCUGUCGGUAGGUCUGCUCUAGAACUUUCCCCAGCUGUCGGUAGGUCUGCUCUAGAACUUUCCCCAGUUGUCGGUAGGUCUGCUCUAGAACUUUCUCCAGCUGUCGGUAGGUCUGCUCUAGAACUUUCCCCAGCUGUCGGUAGGUCUGCUCUAGAACUUUCUCCAGCUGUCGGUAGGUCUCCUCUAGAACUUUCUCCAGCUGUCGGUAGGUCUGCUCUAGAACUUUCUCCAGCUGUCGGUAGGUCUGCUCUAGAACUUUCUCCAGCUGUCGGUAGGUCUGCUCUAGAACUUUGUCCAGUUGUCCGUAGGUCUGCUCUAGAACUUUCUCCAGAUGUCAGUAGGUCUG
This is a long non-coding RNA of Acanthochromis polyacanthus (spiny chromis), 1882 nucleotides long. RefSeq lists it as uncharacterized. The transcript is spliced from 4 exons. Lineage: Eukaryota; Metazoa; Chordata; Actinopteri; Pomacentridae. The record is from RefSeq and is a predicted model, not a curated record.